Molecule: transfer RNA, 74 nt
Filed under: Acinetobacter baumannii
Lineage: Bacteria; Pseudomonadati; Pseudomonadota; Gammaproteobacteria; Moraxellales; Moraxellaceae
Also listed under: 1 other name
Description: tRNA-Glu
Rfam family: tRNA
About the family: Transfer RNA (tRNA) molecules are approximately 80 nucleotides in length. Their secondary structure includes four short double-helical elements and three loops (D, anti-codon, and T loops). Further hydrogen bonds mediate the characteristic L-shaped molecular structure. tRNAs have two regions of fundamental functional importance: the anti-codon, which is responsible for specific mRNA codon recognition, and the 3' end, to which the tRNAs corresponding amino acid is attached (by aminoacyl-tRNA synthetases). tRNAs cope with the degeneracy of the genetic code in two manners: having more than one tRNA (with a specific anti-codon) for a particular amino acid; and 'wobble' base-pairing, i.e. permitting non-standard base-pairing at the 3rd anti-codon position.
Source: RNAcentral
CCCUAUCGUCUAGAGGCCUAGGACAUCGCCCUUUCACGGCGGUAACCGGGGUUCGAAUCCCCGUAGGGACGCCA